CCUCUCACUCCACCUCCCGCGCUAGAACUCUUCUCCGGAUUCGCCAACCGCCAACGUUGUCUUAGGCGCUGUUUGAGGUCGCGAGGCUCCGCACGUGAGCCCAGCCCAAGGGCGGGAGGAAGUUUUAGGUUCUGGGUGUUCAUUAUAUAACUGUCCAAACCGGCCAUUAUUUAAUCUUUGUACCUCAAUGUCCUGUAAACUGGAUAGCAGUACUACCUACUGAAUACAGUUUUGAGGAGUAAAUGCGAUAGUUGAUUAAAUAUAAUCAACAAAUGUGGGGCAAGUGUUAUAGAAAAAAAAUCAAGCAUUAUUUACGAUAGCCAAGAUAUGGAAGC
Molecule: long non-coding RNA, 335 nt
Organism: Hyaena hyaena (striped hyena)
Lineage: Eukaryota; Metazoa; Chordata; Mammalia; Carnivora; Hyaenidae
Exons: 3
Source: RefSeq, a predicted model, not a curated record